GCCGCGGUAGUGUAGUGGUUAGCACAGGAGCUUGUGGAGCUCCUAGCCCGAGUUCAAAUCUCGGCUGCGGCC
RNAcentral lists this transfer RNA (72 nucleotides) under Candidatus Aenigmatarchaeota archaeon. RNAcentral's name for it is "tRNA-His". It matches the Rfam family "tRNA". From Rfam's summary of the family: Transfer RNA (tRNA) molecules are approximately 80 nucleotides in length. Their secondary structure includes four short double-helical elements and three loops (D, anti-codon, and T loops). The record is from RNAcentral. Lineage: Archaea; Nanobdellati; Candidatus Aenigmatarchaeota.